UGGGGAAUAUUGCGCAAUGGGGGGAACCCUGACGCAGCCAUGCCGCGUGAAUGGAGAAGGCCUUCGGGUUGUAAAGUUCUUUCGGUAUUGAGGAAGGUUGAUGUGUUAAUAGCACAUCAAAUUGACGUUAAAUACAGAAGAAGCACCGGCUAACUCCGUGCCAGCAGCCGCGGUAAUACGGAGGGUGCGAGCGUUAAUCGGAAUAACUGGGCGUAAAGGGCACGCAGGCGGUUAUUUAAGUGAGGUGUGAAAGCCCUGGGCUUAACCUAGGAAUUGCAUUUCAGACUGGGUAACUAGAGUACUUUAGGGAGGGGUAGAAUUCCACGUGUAGCGGUGAAAUGCGUAGAGAUGUGGAGGAAUACCGAAGGCGAAGGCAGCCCCUUGGGAAUGUACUGACGCUCAUGUGCGAAAGCGUGGGGAGCAAACAGGAUUAGAUACCCUGGUAGUCCACGCUGUAAACGCUGUCGAUUUGGGGGUUGGGGUUUAACUCUGGCGCCCGUAGCUAACGUGAUAAAUCGACCGCCUGGGGAGUACGACCGCAAGGUUA
This 547-nucleotide ribosomal RNA is filed under the name uncultured bacterium. Its description in RNAcentral is "bacterial SSU rRNA". It matches the Rfam family "Bacterial small subunit ribosomal RNA", at positions 355 to 896 of the family's 1533-position model. The record is from RNAcentral.